GACGAACGCUGGCGGCGUGCUUAACACAUGCAAGUCGUACGGUAAGGCCCUUUCGGGGGUACACGAGUGGCGAACGGGUGAGUAACACGUGAGUAACCUGCCCACAACUUUGGGAUAACGCUAGGAAACUGGUGCUAAUACUGGAUAUGUGCUCCUGCUGCAUGGUGGGGGUUGGAAAGCUCCGGCGGUUGUGGAUGGACUCGCGGCCUAUCAGCUUGUUGGUGGGGUAGUGGCCUACCAAGGCGGCGACGGGUAGCCGGCCUGAGAGGGUGACCGGCCACAUUGGGACUGGGAUACGGCCCAGACUCCUACGGGAGGCAGCAGUGGGGAAUAUUGCACAAUGGGCGCAAGUCUGAUGCAGCAACGCCGCGUGCGGGAUGACGGCCUUCGGGUUGUAAACCGCUUUCAGCAGGGACGAAGCUUUUUGUGACGGUACCUGCAGAAGAAGCACCGGCUAACUACGUG
Molecule: ribosomal RNA, 465 nt
Filed under: uncultured bacterium
Lineage: Bacteria
Description: partial 16S ribosomal RNA
Rfam family: Bacterial small subunit ribosomal RNA
Source: RNAcentral